AUGUUGAUAGGAGCUAUGAAAUGGAGGAUGUCAAGCAACCUUGGAAGAAUGAAAUUUUUUAAGAAACGGAUGACACGGAUACUAAACUUUGCUUGAUGGAGACAAAAAAGAUCAACCAUAUUUAGGAAAGUUGAAGGAGAAUCUGCAAAAUAAUGAGAUAGCCAAGAAGUGACAAAUAAUUCUUACGAGUUUACAUGGCUAUCUAAAAUAAAUGACAUUUUUCAUUUGAAAGCCAAGAAUGCAAAAUGAAACAUUUAGUCUGACUCACUUGGAUCUGUGCCACCACCACAAGAACAUAAUCUUAAACUCAAAUUGCAGAUAAAAGAAUUGAAGUUGGUUUACAUCAUUCCGCGACAAUAAAUGUAGCGCAAUAUGGGAAGCCCCCCUGUUUUCCUUAAAUUCAUGUCGAUUUUGUGAUUUUAAAUUUGUGUUAAGUUUCUUUUAGUAUUUCUAGCCAUUCUACUAAUUUUCAUCUCAUUUGAAAUUGAAUUGCACAGGUUGAGGGGAUUGGAAGGCAUAAAAAAUGCAUAGGAAGACACUGAAGUUACUGCCAAAAGUCCCAUCUCCUCAGUCCUCUCAUCUUAAAACCGCACAACGUCAUCAGGUCUGAAAUUCCCAACUCUUCUUUAUAUUACUAUCUUUAUGAAUUGAAUAUUUUUCCUAAUCAUAACAUCUGAGCAUGCUAAAAGGAAAAUAGUUGGGGCAACUUGUUGCCCGUAAAGUGUUUGCUCAAUUGCCUAAAGGAGUCCCGCCCCUUGUUAAUGAAUUGAAUAUCAGUAAUUCUGAAUCAAUAUGGCUGAAAGCUAUCUGUUUACUGAAAUCAAUUGUACUGAGCCUUAAGAACAACUGAACUUUUUUUUUUCUUGCUUGAAAUCUUGUAGAAUGAAAUCCUUACUCCCUAUAGGUGAUAUUGUGCUUGUUUUAUUGUGAACUUUCAUGAGAAGGUACACUCUAAGAUGCGGGGGUGGUUUGGUGGAUUUUCUGAGGUGAAUUCUCUCAUUGUGUGAAUUUUCCUUUACUGAAAUUCUGAAUUACUAGACAAGAGAUGUUAGUUUUCUGUAGUAGGGAAUAGUCGGGUCUGACCACCUAGCUGUCAGAAAUAUCUGUCGGAAAUCUUGAUGGUCUGCCGUCAAAAAGGUUUGUGUUGUGCUUUUCUCUGAUGAUCCUUUUCCUGCCGAUAAUUCGUGUACUCUUUGGACAACUUUCCAACAGAUAUGUCCGUCGGAGUUUCGCGUAAUUCCGAUACAGAAGCGGAUCCAGAAUUUAAAUCUUAUGGGUUCAAUUUUAAGAUUUUUAACAUUGAACCCAUUAUAUUUUUAAAGUUAUGGGUUCAUAUCUACUAUUUUUACAAUUUUAAUGAAUUUUUACAUAUAAAUUUUUACUCCGCGUCGAAAGUUAUGGGUUCAGUUGAACCCGUAGCCACUAAGCUACAUCCGCCUCUAUUCUGAUAGUGUUGCUCAACUUAGACAAGCAGUCAGAUUUUUGUGUAAUUCCAGUAAUGUUGCUCAACUUAGACUUUAAGUUGAGUGGGAAGAAGUAUAUCCUUGAUUCUCUAUGUUAUGAAAGAUACUAAAUUAAAACGUAUUUUAAUCUGAAUAUAUUUUUUUGGCAAAUAUUUGCAACACACAAGUGUUUUGGAACUGAAGAAUUAUAAGAACUUCCUCAACAUGCAAUAAGUUGAAUUUUGAUCUUCUUUAAUCUCGCUACAACAUCUUUCAUGUCGGUCCUUCCUUCAGGAGAUUCAAUAUAACAAUCAAAGCUAAUCAAGAUCCUAACUACAGGAGACUGAUUAAAGGAACUAAGCAAAUAGAUUUUAACAAAAGGAAAAGUCGUUGCCUACACUCUGUACUUGCAUGCGUGUACCCCCCACUCAAGCCGAAAAUGAUACAUUCAUUCAAAGCUCAACAUGCAAGAAGUUGAAUCUUGAUGGUCUUUAACCUCGCUACAACAUCUUUCAUGUCAGUCCUUCCUUUAGGAGAUUCAACACAACAAUCUAUUGCCACUUUCAUGAUGGAUACCACACAAUCUAACUUUUUCAUUAAUUGAUUAUCCUGUGGCGUUAUUAAGUUGGCAUCAACAACUUCCAUUACUGCCUGUGGGGGUGAGUUGCUCACCCAUUGCUUCAAGCUAAGAUCUCCAUCAAACAUUUCAUCACUAGGCUUUGUCCUUGUAAAUGUUUCCAUCAACAUGAUUCCGUAACUAUAAACAUCGCAUUUUGUUGACACUAGUCCCUCCAGUCCAUACUCUACAAUCAGUCAAUUUUAAAUUCAGCAUUUACUGGGGGAGAAAAGAAAGAGAAAUAUUCAAAAGCAAUUAAUUAAGAGAUCACUUACCUGGUGCAAUAUAACCCAAUGUUGCUAAAGUUUUAGUGUACGAAGCACUUUCAUCUUCAGAAAGCAGUUUAGAAAUGCCAAAGUCACUUAGGUGGGCAACCAUGUCCUCGUCCAACAAGACAUUACUAGGCUUCAGAUCACAAUGGAUCACGGGAAAUGAGCAGCCAUGGUGGAGAUAUUCCAAGGCACAUGCCACAUCUAUCAUUAUAUUUAGUCUUUGCUUGAUGUCUAAGAAGUAGUUGUGCGAAUACAACCAUUUAUCGAGGCUUCCAUUAGACAUGUAGUCAAGUACCAAAGCCUUAAAUUCAAGGUUGGAACAACUAGUGAUGACUUUGGUGAGAUUCCUAUGACGAAGGUUGCGCAAAACUUGGCAUUCUGUAUCAAAACUCCUAAAUGCUGCUUGCAAUUGCAGAUUGAACACUUUAACUGCAAUAUGAGUCCCAUCUCUGAGGAUGCCUUUGUAAACAGAGCCGAAACUCCCGGAACCAAUCAAAUUGCUCUCGCUGAGUGAAUCAGUUGCUUGGAGCAAUUCAUAGUAUGAAAUUCUUUCUCUUGUUGAGACGUCAUACAAUGAAUCAACUGUUUGCUGAGGAUCAGUUCUUUUACCUCUCAUAUACCUUAUCCAUACAAGCACAAAGGCCAUAGGAACUAAUAUAACUAUUGCAAUUCCGGCCAGUAGAAGUACUUUUUUCCUCUUGGAUCUAUGCUUUGAAGUACUAGUAUGGCAUGGCGGAACACGGAAUCUUGGAGAACCACAUAAUGCUUCAUUGGACAUGAAAGACUGACUGGAGAGGUUCUUGAAAGGACCGUCAGAGGGGAUUUCACCAACCAACUUGUUGAAAGAAACGUUAAAAUACUUCAGAUUUUGAAGCUUCUCCAAAGACUUGGGAAUUAAUCCUGAAACAUUGUUAUGACUAAGGUCUAGAAAUUCCAAAGCUGACAUGCUUCUGAUCGAGUCAGAUUGAUCCUUGUAAUUUGUUGUCUCUCAAAGAUAAGUGCAUUAGAUUUUGCAAGCCACCAAUUUCUCUAGGAAUUCCAUUUGAAAAGGUAUUCAUUGAUAGAUCCAUAUAUAUCACAGCCUUUAGGUUUCCAAUUUUCGGAGGUAAAGGGCCAUCCAAGUUGCUUGAGGAUAAGUCUAGCUUCAAGAGAUUUCUGAGGUUCCCUAAGCUUGCUGGUAUGUUUGAACGCAAUUUAUUGGAACCUAGAAAUAUCUCCCGAAGGGAAAUUAAGUUCCCCAAACAAUUAGGAAGAGAUCCUGAAAGUUGAUUCUGAGUUAAGUAUAAAUAACCCAAGUUUUGCAAUUUACAUAUAUCAUCUCCAAUAAAUCCAGAAAGUUUGUUGUGACUCAAAUUAACGCUCUGAAGAAAUCUCAAGUUGCUAAUUGUUGCGGGAAUUGAUCCAAUUAUGUCGUUUUCAGAAAGAUCGAGGUCUAAUAAGCUGCUUAAGUUCCUAAUUCCUUUUGGAAUUUCCCCUUUAAUUCUGCAAUCAGCAGCGUUAAUCCUUAGAAGAGAAGUACUGGAAAGGUUCCCUAAGGAGACUGGAAGUACACCAUUUAGAGGGUUCAAAGAUAAAGAAAGAAAUUCUAAAUCUCUACAAUUUGAUAAGGAAGUCAAGAAGCUUAACGUAGAGUCGCUCACUAAAUUGUUUCCAUCCAAGAGUAGGUACUCUAGAUGAGUUAAAUAUCCAAGAGAGGUUGGAAUCAAACCGGUGAGUCUAUUUCCAGCAACAUCUAGAGUGUUGAGCUUGGAACAAUUGGAGAUAGAAUCUGGUAUAGUCCCAAAAAGAUUUAAGCGACCUAGAUAAAGACCUUCAAUGUUGGGUAACAUAGAACCUAUGUUCAAUGGGAGGGUUCCUGUCAGAUUAUUGUUUAGAAGGUCAAUCACUGUUAUCCCUGAUAUGUUGAAUAUCUCUGUUGGAAGUGAACCAGUAAACUUGUUCAAACCCAGAUCAAUUCCAUCCAACUCAAUGAGGUUGCUUACCUCUUUCGGUAUUUCACCUGCCAAUGUUUGUAUGUAUCAGUAAUUAAUGAACAACUAGUAAUAGGUGGGGAGCUAUGUGGGCCGAAGGGGUUCAGUCUUCGCUGAAAAUUAUACUGUGUAUAUAAGGUAAUUUGUUUUUAAUUCCCUUAGUUUUUUCGCGUGUUUAUUUUUCUUAUUUUAUAUCCCCUUGGUAAAAAUCCUGCUUCUGUCACUGCUAGUAAUGAUUUUACUUUGUUAGUUCAGCCAUAGCAACUGGUAAAAUUAUUGCCAUAUGACCAAGAGGUCACGGGUUCGAGCCGUUGAAACAGCCUCUUGCAGAAAUGUAGGGUAAGGCUGCGUACAAUAAACCCUUGUGGUUCGGGCCUUUCACGGACCCCGCGCAUAGCGGAAGCUUAGACCAGCCUGCCCUUUUAGUUCAGCCAUAGCAAGCUAGCUGCAGUACCUUAAUUUCCC
Molecule: long non-coding RNA, 4765 nt
Filed under: Nicotiana tabacum (common tobacco)
Lineage: Eukaryota; Viridiplantae; Streptophyta; Magnoliopsida; Solanales; Solanaceae
Description: long non-coding RNA (NTAB_LNC006219)
Source: RNAcentral